GGAAGCUGGAGGAAAUGGAAGCACAGCCCCUGGGAGCCCUGUACCAACACCUCCACUCUCUCUGUCCUCUCGGGUCAGAACCUGGUCCCGUGGCCACACUUCUCUGCAACAGAGACUGGAAAAUCAAGUUCUUAAUGCUCUGCUGCCUCAAACACGGCUGAGUCACAAAGGAGGAAGAGACAAGGCUGUGGAUGUCGGGUGGGCUUCUGCGUCUCUGCCAAAGUGAGGAGGGGACCGUCCACAAGGCACUGAAACACAGAGGAAGUGACUGGGAUCAAAACUAGGUGCCACGAUCACAAGAAUCAGCCAAUGGGUCAGUGGAGCGGCAGAGCCCAGAGCAGACUCAGAUGCCUGGGACAGGCUGAACGGAUCCCAGGACCCAGCGGCACCUACAACCAGACGGCCAACUGCAAGGACUGGGGUCACCCUACAUCUUGCACCUCAUACAAAACCGAUUGCAGACGGACUGGAGACUUUGAAAGAUGAAAGCACAGAGACUAGCGGGAGAGAAAAGAAGCAGUGCUGGACCCCACCUUUAAAACCUUGAGGCGAGCCUGAUGCAGUGGUGCACACCUGAAGUGUAAGUGACUUGGGAGACUGAGGCAGGAGGAUCAAAAGCUUGAGGCCAGCCUGGGCAACUUAGCAAGACUCUGCCUCAAAACAAAAAAUAAAAAGGGGUCGGGGUGUGCCUUGGUGGUAGAGCUCUUGCCCAGCCAGGGCCUAGGUUUGAUCCCCAGCACCACAAAUUCAAACAAGCACACUAAUAUCUUGUGGUGGGAACUUGGUAAGCACCUGCCAAGCACAAAAAUCCA
RNAcentral lists this long non-coding RNA (812 nucleotides) under Marmota monax (woodchuck). The record is from RNAcentral. Lineage: Eukaryota; Metazoa; Chordata; Mammalia; Rodentia; Sciuridae.